AACGAACGCUGGCGGCAUGCCUAACACAUGCAAGUCGAACGAGACCUUCGGGUCUAGUGGCGCACGGGUGCGUAACGCGUGGGAACCUGCCCUUAGGUUCGGAAUAACUCCCCGAAAGGGGUGCUAAUACCGGAUAAUGUCUUCGGACCAAAGAUUUAUCGCCUUUGGAUGGGCCCGCGUUGGAUUAGCUAGUUGGUAGGGUAAAAGCCUACCAAGGCGACGAUCCAUAGCUGGUCUGAGAGGAUGAUCAGCCACACUGGGACUGAGACACGGCCCAGACUCCUACGGGAAGCAGCAGUGGGGAAUAUUGGACAAUGGGCGAAAGCCUGAUCCAGCAAUGCCGCGUGAGUGAUGAAGGCCUUAGGGUUGUAAAGCUCUUUUACCCGGGAUGAUAAUGACAGUACCGUGAGAAUAAGCUCCGGCUAACUCCGUG
This 433-nucleotide ribosomal RNA is filed under the name uncultured bacterium. Its description in RNAcentral is "partial 16S ribosomal RNA". It matches the Rfam family "Bacterial small subunit ribosomal RNA", at positions 29 to 507 of the family's 1533-position model. The record is from RNAcentral.